This 96-nucleotide small RNA is filed under the name Arabidopsis thaliana (thale cress). RNAcentral describes it as "ATSL081660". Lineage: Eukaryota; Viridiplantae; Streptophyta; Magnoliopsida; Brassicales; Brassicaceae. The record is from RNAcentral.
UCUAUUUAUAAAAAAUAUUUUAUUUUAUAGUUUACAACUGUUAUUAAGUAACGUCCUGCCAAACCCGUCCAGCAAAACUCGUCCUGCAAAAAAAAA